GAUGAAGAACGUAGCGAAAUGCGAUAAGUAAUGUGAAUUGCAGAAUUCAGUGAAUCAUCGAAUCUUUGAACGCACAUUGCGCCCCUUGGUAUUCCAUGGGGCAUGCCUGUUCGAGCGUCAUUUGUACCUUCAAGCUUUGCUUGGUGUUGGGUGUUUGUCCUGAGGGACUCGCCUUAAAGUAAUUGGCAGCCAGUGUUUGGUUUUGAAGCGCAGCACAAGUCGCGAUUCAAAGCUAUACGCCCGCUUCCACAAGCCUUUUUCACUUUUGACCUCGGAUCAGGUAGGGAUACCCGCUGAACUUAAGCAUAUCAAUAAGCGGAGG
This 322-nucleotide unclassified non-coding RNA is filed under the name soil metagenome. Its description in RNAcentral is "partial contains 5.8S ribosomal RNA, internal transcribed spacer 2, and large subunit ribosomal RNA". The stretch from base 1 to 120 matches the Rfam family "5.8S ribosomal RNA", at positions 35 to 154 of the family's 154-position model. The record is from RNAcentral.